Quercus robur (English oak) is the source of this 537-nucleotide long non-coding RNA. RefSeq lists it as uncharacterized. The record is from RefSeq and is a predicted model, not a curated record. The transcript has 3 exons. Lineage: Eukaryota; Viridiplantae; Streptophyta; Magnoliopsida; Fagales; Fagaceae.
UAAUAGGCCUGGUCUACUGGGAAUGAACAAAUAUGAGUUUGCAAAAACUUACUGUGUUGUCAGAGUUGUCCGUGAUUCUCAAGGGAAAUUUUAUCAGGAUUUCUCGAAGGGAAUUCGCUUGGAAGAGUUGAAUGUGUUACUUAGGCAAACUAUUAUGUUACUGUUAGUGAAGUUGAAGAACCUUUUGAGCUUUAGAAGAGCAUUAGCAGUUCUGUAAUCAAUGAUGGGUUGAUAAACAAGGUAUGUUAGUGCUUAAAACCAAGGCUUCUUCUCUUCAACAGUUUGCUUAUCAUGUUGCAUUUCCUACCAUGCCCUUGCUUCUAUCCCUGAUUUUUCUUGAUUUUUUUUAGACUUCUUGUUUGGGUAUGGAAAAACUAGUUGCAUAGGGCGGAAUUACCAAAUGAGAAAUCAGAUAUUAAAAAUUAAAUGUCAUUUAUUUUAUUUUCCAACAGUUGCCUUGUAUGUUCUUCCACGAGCAGGAGAUUCACUGUGGUAUAUUUUAGUGAAUCGCCACCUGCUUCCAGAUAAUAAGAAUGC